GCCUUCUUGGAUCAACGGUGGAUCGUCUCGUCCAUUGUGCCUGCUUAAUCUUGGCUUAUGAGAUCGCGGGGGUUCGAAUCCCCCAGAAGGCA
Non-coding RNA from Mycena leptocephala, 92 nucleotides. NCBI's taxonomy places the organism in Eukaryota, Fungi, Basidiomycota, Agaricomycetes, Agaricales, Mycenaceae. The record is from the annotation of a GenBank genome assembly.